Molecule: long non-coding RNA, 1609 nt
Filed under: Homo sapiens (human)
Lineage: Eukaryota; Metazoa; Chordata; Mammalia; Primates; Hominidae
Description: novel transcript
Source: RNAcentral
UGAAAACCUAAUCAAACUUUUUAUUAAAUAUGAAGAUUCAGAGCAGAAUGGAGCUGAAUGGAUGCUGGGCAGAGGGUCAGUUUUACUUUAGUAGAGCAUCUUUUUGAUGUGCUGGUAAAGACACGACAUUUAUCAAAGAAUAAUUUUCCCAAAAAGGGGCAAAAUCAUGACUCUCAUAGAGAUAAAAUGAACAUGUGCUAAAGAUUUUAUUCGACUCAUUGAUUAAGUGACUGAACCAGACAUUGAACUUCACUUCCUCCUUGGAAGCUAGAUUUGGCCAUGUGAUUAGCUACAGUUAAUGUUUGUAAGUGGAAGCCUUAAAAGUUGAUGUGCAAUUUGCUACACUCCCUUCCCACUGCCAAAUGUUGGUGAAAACGUGUCAAGAUGAUGCCUCUGCCAGCUUGAGUCUUCAUACCCUUCUUCUGACUUGCUUUGGACAUGUAGUAUCAUGGAGAACUAGGAUUUCAAACUGGAUCAUUUUGAGGGUAAAAGGGACAACAGGCACAAUUUGACAAUGUAUGUUCAUCCUAGUGAAACUUGUAAUGUUAAGCCACUGAGACCUGGGGGUUGUUUUUUUACCGCAGCGUAACCUAGCCUAUCUUGAUUGAUAUAUAAAUGCAUGUAUAGAAAUGCUCAAUAACUCAUUCAUAGAAGUGCAACAAAUGACUCAUGUUGCACUAUAACUGUGUGAGGUUGGUAAGAAAAUGGAUUCUAACAUCUAGGCCUAAGGUGAGUCAGCUACAUGGACACUGACAAGUGAGUAACCUGCUGGGAUCAAGAGCUCUUGGCUUCCAAGUGAAGGCUCUUUUUCAGAUCUUUCCAAGGAAAUGUUACCAAGGAGCUACAUUCAGGACAAAAGCUGCUGACAUGAGAAAAGGGUUAGUAUAGCCCAGAAAGACUAGCCUCGGUCUUGUCUGUAUGACCGUAUAUGCUUAAGAGUAUGGCACCAAGUUUUUACCGUGGAGGAGCCUGAGCCAACCUACAGAAUGUUUGAUUUGACCAGCAGAGUAUUGUAGACAAAACAUGAAUUUGCAGCCCUUUCAGUUGAGGAAGCACUCUCAGCUUUGCCACUGCCCUUUGUUUCUUUCUGUCAUUUGAUCCUGCUCUUUUCCACUUCUUCACCUCAGUUGUAUUACCUGCCUGGCUUUUGAAGACAUUUGAGUUUGGACCUCUGCAGGGAACCAUUGUACCUGAGAUGGAAAGCACAGCAGCCCGCAUGGACAGAAACAGGGCACUUCACCUCUGCAGUGUUCCUUCCAUAACCCCAGUCUAAUCAUAAGCAAAAUAAUCAGACAAACCCAGAUUAGGAGACAUCCUACAGGAUACCUGGACAGCAUUCCUAAAGCCUGUCAGGGUCACAAAAAACAAGGAAAGACUGAAGACUGUCAUAGGCCAGAAGCAAAUGGAGAGACAUGGCAACUAAAUGCAAUGUAGUGUCCUGGAUCAGAUACUAGAAUAGUAAGUAACAGGUCAUCAAUAGGAACACUGGUGAAGUCUGAAGAAUGUCUGGAAUUUAGAUAACAGUUACGUACCAAUAAUGGGCUCUUAGUUUUGACAAAUGUACCAUGGUAAUGUAAGACAUUAACAAUGGGAGAAACUGGGUGAGGGG